Biomphalaria pfeifferi is the source of this 1185-nucleotide non-coding RNA. The record is from the annotation of a GenBank genome assembly. Lineage: Eukaryota; Metazoa; Mollusca; Gastropoda; Planorbidae.
CUAAUGUUCAAAUAGUAUUUAUUGAUAGAAACAAACAAGUGUAUUGAUGUAGAUUAUUGUAGGACGUUGAAUGUAACAAGAAAAACAAGACAAAAAUUUUAUUAAACAUAGAUUUAGUACAAAACUGUACCAAAUGUUAAUACAUAAUAGUUUGUAUUAAUUUAAACAUUAUGUAUAAAUAGUAUCCAUUUCUAAGAACACGUUUGGAACAAUUGUAUAGUAGCAUGGAAAAUGUUUGAGAUAUCACAAGACUCUGUGGAAUGUGAUGAACGAUGUAUGUAUAUGUACAUGACACUCUCUUUCCAAACAUCUCUUUAGGAAUUUUAAAACAUGGGAAAUUGAUACUAAAAACAAUAGUGCGCCUGAAUGAACCAGUGAAACAAAAAAGUCUGAAACAACUGAUAAAUAAACAUAACAUGUAGAACAUAAAAGCAGCACUAGGCUACAAUGAUUAUUGUGAAAAGGUUAAGAAAUUAUAAUGAGACAUAGAUUGACUCCAACAAAGACAUGAACCAAAGAUCUGCAACCUGGCAAGACUGUCUAAAGGGGACAAAAUCUAAUAUAUGACGACCAUUUCAAGCCACAAAAGAAAAGAGCUUUUAAAGAGCUUCUAAAGAUUUCAAGUUAUCUGACCUAGGGUCACACUAUUACAAGACCAGCCUAAAGGAACCCCUUCCCACAUAUCUCAACACACACUUUCACCAUCAAUUAUAUAUAAAAGCCAACACAUUUUGGAGCCGAGGCUUCUUCCAAAGACAAAGAUUCUGUCUAUUUGCAUCUGUAUCUCCCCAACAAUAGAACUAGUGCUGCUGAUAUGUCAUGUCACCUCUUUCAACAGGUAUUUCUUUAUGAAAUAUACAAAAUAUCAUAUAAAACAGAUCUUUAUCUUUUUUUUGUUGUUGUUGUGUCUAUUGUUUAUUCAAAUGAACAGAAUCUUUCUUCAAUCACUGUUUUGGUUGAAUAACUAACUGUUAUCAAUGGACCUAACUGGGAUAGAGAGAUAUUUACUGCUAAUUAUUUACAUAUUCUAAAAAAGUUUCUCCUACUGCAAUCUUGUCACUCUGUUCUUUACAUAUGUCCUUCACAUUACAUCUUUGAAUUCACAAGAAUCUUAAGAAAAAAUGUGAAUAGUUACAACUGACAGUUGCUACAUUAGAAAUAAUUCAUCCUAUUACUGACAGUUGC